RNAcentral lists this long non-coding RNA (1555 nucleotides) under Sus scrofa (pig). RNAcentral's name for it is "lncRNA (ENSSSCG00015006827.1)". Lineage: Eukaryota; Metazoa; Chordata; Mammalia; Artiodactyla; Suidae. The record is from RNAcentral.
ACUGGAGCUAGACCAGCUCUGAACACCCUGCCUGCCACGGGAGCUCCCCAUCACGGAGCUCCCGGCUUCUGCACCAGUCAGGACGCCGGAGGCGCACCUUGCCCAAGGUCAACUAACUGGGCAGCCUAGUGAGGACCCUACAGAACCUUCUCCGGCUCCCUGGCCUCCAAUUCAGGGUUAGUUUCAAGGCAUGCAUUUACACUUUGAGAGGGAGACUGAGGGAAAUCAGGGAUUCUUUAGUUUGGAAGGAAAAUUAGAACUAGUAAUUACUCUGCCCCCAAGGAAAUAUUAGGCCAGCAUGUUCUGGCACUUUCUUUUCGUCUCCUCUGGAAUCUUCCUCAUUUUGUGAACGGGGGAGGGGGCACUUGGGCCAGGAGGUUGCGGGGCCUGGGUUGGAGAGGGUGAGAGGAGCGGGAGCCAGCAGUCCCCAAGGAGAAAGUUUGCCUUAGGUCCCCGGGGUGGGGGCAGGGGAGAGAGGGGAGCCUGCGAGGGGCCGGUCGUGUGGGAGAGGGAGGAAGGGGCAGAGGAGAGGAGGGCAGGGGAUGGCAGAAACACGGAGAAGCGGGCAGAGAGGAAGCGGAGGAUAAGAACAGGAAAAAAGUAAGAAAGAGGAGUGUCCGAAAGGGCACAGAGAGGAAAGAUCCAAGCAGGACCGAAAGCUGGGGAGAGCCCGAAAGGUCAGCGUGUGGACCCGGAGCUGAAGAGGGCGCGCCCCACCUCGGCUCCGAGCUGGAGCCCCGGGCGGCAGAAGCCUGGGAGGAAGGACGCCCGAGAGAGAGGCAGUGCCCGGCGGGCAGAGGUGGAGCGGCUCGGGCCGAGGGACCCUGGAAAGGGAAGGAUUCGGAUCCCAGUUCCUGAGACUGUAGGAAUCGGACGAGAUCGCACAACCAGCCUCUUUCCGCUCUGGAGAGUCCAGUGACACUUAGAAAAGGCCGAGAGGCAAGCCCCAAGCUUCGGGAGCAUUUCGGAUGCAGGGUGCAGACGGAGCCGCUGGAGAAAGGCCACUCUAGAAGCUGGGCAAGGAAGACCAGCUGGGCUGGAGGGGCCAAAGGGCUUCAGGAGCCCAGACUCUGGGCCUUCGGGAGAAACACGGAAGGAAAGGCGGUGACCCACGGGAGAUGGCCGUUCCUGCAGGUCAGAGAUCAUGAACGUUGGCAAUUUCAUCUUGUUGCACCUGCCGGGUGUCAGAGCCACCUGGACCCUUUGCUAUGCACACAUCUGGUGACAGAUACAGAUCAGGCCACAGGGCCCGGAUGGUGUGAGACAACAGUGCGGCUCCAUGCCAGCCACCCCCGGAGCUCUGAGAACUGCAGCAGUGACAAAAGAGGAGCGCUUUAAAGAGCCUCGACUCCUCGGGGUUCCCAAAGUCCCUACAGAGCCGCCACUCCCUGGGGUGAGGAUGAGGUGAACCCCUGGGAGGUAGGGGAGAAUUUCAUUCCACCGAGAGGGGGGGUGUGAUGCCUUCCUGGGGAGCUAGAGGGCACAGGCAGAGAGUGGGCAGGAAAGGACCUGAUCAAACUAAAAACUGAUCCGUGUAAUUAAAGCAAUGGUGCAC